RNAcentral lists this unclassified non-coding RNA (1822 nucleotides) under Leishmania donovani. Its description in RNAcentral is "gene:LdHU3.09.1020(CDS-product:ATPase_family_asso ciated_with_various_cellular_activities_(AAA)_putative)". The record is from RNAcentral. Lineage: Eukaryota; Euglenozoa; Kinetoplastea; Trypanosomatida; Trypanosomatidae.
AGCGUGCCCACUCCUAGCGAACCCUCUGCUCCGCUGCGAUGGCCUCGCUUCUGCCGCAGCAGGCUUUGCGGCGGCAUGUCUCCCGUCGCAAACCCGGUUGGGCCCCUGUCUCCGCUGUGGCCGGCAUGACCGUUGCUCUUAUCGUGUGUUCCGUUGUCUUCGUCCUGGUGCUGGGCAGUGCUACCGUAGCGGGCGGGCGACCGAAGCAGCCGAUAUCGAAGGGCACCACGGCAGGGGCGUCGUCGCACGCGUCGAGUUCGCUAUGUCCUCGCUGCCCACUGUGCUCGCGGUCGGGGACACCGAUAAAGGAGCGGCUGAAGUAUUGUCACACCACCUCCGGGUACAUCAUCUCUCUCUUCUCCUGGGGGACCUCUGCGCUGGCAGGGAAGCAGCGCACCGGAGUCUCGAAUCGCGAGCAGCGGCAGCUCUACCCGCUGGAGCUCCCAUUCGCGACCGACGACGCCGUGCGUAAACAGUGCAUGCGCGAUAUGCAGGAUCUUCUUCUCGCCCGUGUGCGAGGCCAGCCGCAAGUCGUCAUGCCGCUGCUCGAUGUGCUUCGACGCAAGCUCGCCUACCCGCGCGAGCCGGUUGUGGUGCACCUUGCCGGGGAUAACGGCGUUGGUAAGACCCACACGGCACGCCUCGUGUCCCAGGCGUUAUCGCUGCGCUGUGCGCCUGACCGCGACGUGUGCGAUGCUGGCGACAACCUGUUGACCAUCGCUGGUACCGGUUUCGACGGCCUGUCGGUGGCUGAGGCGCGCCAGCGCAUCAUAGGGCAGAUCAUCACCCACACGGAUCGCUACCCACACGGGGUGGUGCUGAUCGAUGACCUGACCGCCAUGGACCCUUCUCUCGUCAGCGCACUGGCGCCGCUGUUUGGCAGGGCGGCUCACUUCCCAGAGCAGCUCACGCACCCCUCCACUGCCACAGCCGCAGGUGCGAGACAUGCGGCGGCGAAGUCGCUGCAGACGAUGCACGAGUCGACGAAGGGCCUCGGCCCCGAUGGGGGCAGAGGCUCGGCGGCAAAGAAGGGAGAAGACGAGAAAAGGGAGGCGGCCGCCGGCACAGGCGGCGCACAGCCGUCGACAUCAGAGAUGGCGAGCUCGAGUCUUAGCAGCGGGCAGCCGCCGCCACCGCUUUCGCAGUUGAUUAUCUUCGUUACAACCGACUUCGGACGACAGGGCCGCACUGUCGGCAAGUCGCGCACCGAGAUCGAGGCGAUGAUACAGCAUGACUUUGCGGACCUCUACGGCACUCUUCUACCCGCCUAUACCCGUACCUUCGUCUACUACCCCUUCACCUCGGCAAUGGCCGAAGACGUCGUGCGCAGCGCCGUCACAGACCUGCCUUGUGCGCUCGGCGAGCGCCUGAUCGCCUCCAGCACGAUUAGCGAUGAGGCCGUCUCCUUCCUGGUUCAGCAACACCGUCAGCUGUGGUCCGGAAAAGAGAACGGCCACGCCCUCCGACGCCUGGUGGAGGACGAGAUCGUAUCGCAGCUGGUUGUGUACUGGGAGACACACGCGCAGCAGAAACACUUCGAGCGGCUGCGGGUCCACUUUGAGUUGGACGAGGCGAGCAUGCGCGUGCUGCUGCGUACCCCGCACACAUCUAGGACCACAGCAUCGCAGCCUCCGGCUGCGCUCUCGUCGGUUGAGGCACGUGCGUAUGGCCAUGGCGGAGCCGACGACGGGGACGGGGAGGAACGCAGCGACCUAUAGACGGUCCGCAUCUCCUGCGAUGUGGGGAUGCAGUGAUGAGGGCCCUCCCGCCGCCCCCCCCUCCUUCGCCCUUCGCAUCUCUGCACAGUGGCGGCGAGUCCGAG